This 324-nucleotide small RNA is filed under the name Histoplasma capsulatum var. duboisii H88. Its description in RNAcentral is "Histoplasma capsulatum H88 hypothetical RNA". The record is from RNAcentral. Lineage: Eukaryota; Fungi; Ascomycota; Eurotiomycetes; Onygenales; Ajellomycetaceae.
CACCUCCUUUCAAAGCUCUUCCUCCUCUCUCUCAUUCUUUCACCUUUUCUACCCGCCUUGCCAUCGUUGUACGUGCCAGCAUUCAAAUUACCCUACACAAGAUCGGAUCAAUCAUCUGAAGGAGCUGCUCAAAGGAUGGAUGGCAAAACAGCAAGCAAACAUCACAAAACUUGUUGAGCUCUAGGAAAGUGGAGGACUCAAGGCACCAAGCUUUUGGCAGUGCGGAAGUUAUCGAUUAUGAGCCUGCUAUUGAAGAAAUAUGAGAAAGAGUCUCAUUACUAUUAUUAAGCUGAGAGAAUGAGAGAUUCAAAAGUGUGUUGAAGG